This 78-nucleotide transfer RNA is filed under the name Candidatus Omnitrophota bacterium. RNAcentral describes it as "Candidatus Omnitrophica bacterium (sediment metagenome) tRNA-Asp". It matches the Rfam family "tRNA". Rfam says of the family: Transfer RNA (tRNA) molecules are approximately 80 nucleotides in length. Their secondary structure includes four short double-helical elements and three loops (D, anti-codon, and T loops). Further hydrogen bonds mediate the characteristic L-shaped molecular structure. tRNAs have two regions of fundamental functional importance: the anti-codon, which is responsible for specific mRNA codon recognition, and the 3' end, to which the tRNAs corresponding amino acid is attached (by aminoacyl-tRNA synthetases). tRNAs cope with the degeneracy of the genetic code in two manners: having more than one tRNA (with a specific anti-codon) for a particular amino acid; and 'wobble' base-pairing, i.e. permitting non-standard base-pairing at the 3rd anti-codon position. Lineage: Bacteria; Pseudomonadati; Candidatus Omnitrophota. The record is from RNAcentral.
GGACCCGUGGUGUAGUCUGGUUAACAUGCAAGCUUGUCACGCUUGAGAUCGCGAGUUCAAAUCUCGUCGGGUCCGCCA